RNAcentral lists this transfer RNA (73 nucleotides) under Bos taurus (domestic cattle). It matches the Rfam family "tRNA". Rfam says of the family: Transfer RNA (tRNA) molecules are approximately 80 nucleotides in length. Their secondary structure includes four short double-helical elements and three loops (D, anti-codon, and T loops). Further hydrogen bonds mediate the characteristic L-shaped molecular structure. tRNAs have two regions of fundamental functional importance: the anti-codon, which is responsible for specific mRNA codon recognition, and the 3' end, to which the tRNAs corresponding amino acid is attached (by aminoacyl-tRNA synthetases). tRNAs cope with the degeneracy of the genetic code in two manners: having more than one tRNA (with a specific anti-codon) for a particular amino acid; and 'wobble' base-pairing, i.e. permitting non-standard base-pairing at the 3rd anti-codon position. RNAcentral also lists the same sequence under 2 other names. The record is from Rfam by way of RNAcentral. Lineage: Eukaryota; Metazoa; Chordata; Mammalia; Artiodactyla; Bovidae.
UCUCUGGUGGUUCAGUGGUUAAAAUUCUGCGCUCCCAAAGCGGGGGGCACAGGUUCGAUCCCUGGUUGCAGAA